Podarcis lilfordi (Lilford's wall lizard) is the source of this 31336-nucleotide non-coding RNA. The record is from the annotation of a GenBank genome assembly. Lineage: Eukaryota; Metazoa; Chordata; Lepidosauria; Squamata; Lacertidae.
AGCAAGCAAGCAAGUAGGUAACUAUUUCCUGACUCUGUUGUCACCUUGUCCAUUCCCCUGACAUUAGUGGUAGCAUUAUUUAUCCUUAUGAUUCACAGAUAUUGAUGCAGUUUAUAGAAAAUAUCUUCACACGUAGACAACUAGCAGGCUAGGUUACUAGAACCCUUCGUCAUCACAUUUAAUUUUCUAUGGGUAGGGAUUAAAAGAAAAACAUUUUGUUUUUGAGGACCACACAGUCAAGAAUGAGCUGCUUGGCAAAGCACGUUCUCCUUCAUGGAGAGCACAUGUUGCGGUGGGGUCUAACAAGACAUCCCACUGUUGCUGGGCGGGUAAAGGUAGUUGGCCACCUUUGCCAUUGGGCUCCUCUUGUCGUUGGGGAGAAUUUGAUGUUGCCAUUUUAUGAUUGACAGCCAAGAAGGUUUAUAUUUCCUGCGCGCAGCGUUGAGAUUCCUCUUUUCGCUGUGUGCAUCGGAACACCCGUCCACCCUCCCUCCCUAUAUUUAGGGUUGUUUGCAUUGACCUUGCUAUGCCUGUCAUGGGGUUGUCUGCUUUUGGGGCAGGGGCCUGGUAGGAAUUUUGUCCAUUUGGCUGAGUGGCUGGUGCCAUUUGGUUUUUGCCUACUGCGUAGCAAAUCAUCACAACUUGUAAAGUUGUGGUUAGGCAUUGGUUUUAUGAAUUGGUUGGUGGAGGGGCAUGGAUUGGCUGUGCCUGCCCCUCUAAUGCUGCUGCUGCAAGGGAUUCCAUUAAAGGGAUACAGGGGCUCGCCAUGCUCUUGUCCGAACCCCUGUCAAGGGGCUAGGGCCACGCAAGAGCCCCUGGGAGCAUUUGGGGAGAGGUGAGGGCAUGGUUCCCAGCUCCAUCUUUCUCCCCAAAUUGUUUUCCCUUUCUGACUUUCGCAGGCAUGUAAAUGUCAGUCUGUCACCAGGCGGGGACAGGUAACCAAUGCCUAAGCAACCACUCACAUUUUUUUGUAUUUUAAUAAAGUUGUGGCCAAAAUUAUGCCAAAAACCUUAAACAAAAAUUCUGUGUGAAUUGUGUUUUAUUGGGGACCUCGACAUGAAACCUCUGUAGGCUUCCUCUAAAGGUGUAUACAGCCACACUCUCUUGUCUGAAACCAGAGGUAGGUUCCCCUGAAAUCUUAGUCUCCCCUUGUGGUUGCUUGGAUUGCUUCCAUUGUUAGGCUGCCCUGGCUCGCUGGUGAGCCAGAGCUGAAAAGAUCGCCCUGUGUAUUCUCAAAUUACUAUAUUCUACAUGGAUUUCCUGCGGCCUUUGAUCAUAAAAAGAUGGGAGCCUGUGGUUUCUCCUUUGUUCUCCAGUGUCUUUCCCUUUUGUACACAAGCGACUGAGUCACUGCUGAGUAAUCCCAAGGGUUGCGCUGUCUAACAAUGGACAGAAUCAGACACAACAACAAAGCAUCUCCCCACCCCCACUCCUUUUUAAAGGCAUUGCAUGCAUAUUCAGAAGUGCCCCAGCCUCAAAAGGCCAUGUGCUUACAUUGUCGACUGUAUGCGCCACUUGGCAAAAGGAAACUGACCUUCAGCUGAUCACACACACACACAGUGAGAGAGAGAGAGAGAGAGAGAGAGAGAGAGAGAGAGAGAGAGAGAGAGAGACUGCUUCUGGUGCUCUUGAAUAUGCAUGUCGAUGCCUGCACCACAACUUGGCAGCAAGUCAUUAGAGGCAUACAAGGAGGCAAGGCAAUGACAGUGAAAGGGGGCAGGUCCUGCUGGAGGAGGAUGUUGCCAUUGCUAUGUCAAGAGUCUGACUACGGGCAAAUUUAAGAGAGCUGUUAAGCUGGAGUCAUUGCAGCAGAAGAGCAUGCAAUCUGUUCAUGAAAGGAACUGGUAGUGAAGAACUCUGCUUGCUUUAAUUCAGCCACCGCUGUAGGAGAUAAAGGCUCGCUUCCUAGACCAGGAAUUGCCAGCUUCUAGUAUUCUUAGGGUGCUGCCCUGUAUUCCAGGAAGAUGUUCAGUGAUAGAAAUAUAAAUCAAUCUUUUCAUGGGAGGUCAAGUUGCACAGUAGAGCAUACCCUCCAAUAUUUCUCCAAUGAAAAUAGGGACAUGCUAUUCAACAACAACAACAACAAUAAUUUUAUUAUUUCUAUUCCACCCAUUUGAUUGGGUUGCCCCAGCCACUCUGGGUGGCUUCUAACAUAUAAAAAAAUAAAAAUAAAAUAUUAAACAUUAAAAAACUUCCCUAUACAGGGCUGCCUUCAGAUGUCUUCCAAAGGUUGUAUAGUCACUUAUCUCCUUGGCUUGCCCUGCCUAGGAAGUAGUUGUCAGGAUUAUAUGUUAAAUAGAUUUGGGAUAUUUGUUUUGCGAAGUGUUGUCCAGGCGGGGAUCCGCUUAUUCUGGGAAAGGCACCAGUGACCAGUCCAUCUAUUCUAAACACAGUGUUGAUCUUGCCUGUUUAUUCUGUUUACUCUAAAUAGCAGCCACUUGGGGGCUGGAUGGGAGAAAUCACCUCUCCCCUCCUGCAGCUGCUGUUUGCUGAUGGGUCAAACUAUGCACUUAUUGUUAUAAUUUUGGCUCACAGAUAGCUGCUAUACUAACAAGUACACUGUAGUAACAUUACCCUUGGAUAAAUGAUCAUCUGUACCUUCUUUAAUUCUUUUUUUAUAAUAAUAUUUAUUACAUUUCAAUUGCAAUAAUAGCCUCAUUAUAAGAAUGCCAAAUUAUAAUACAAUUACUAAUACCAAUCAUUCAGAUACCAAAUUAUAUAAUUUAGGUGGCCCCCUGUGUACUAGAAUUGAUGGUUUGCUGCUUUACUUUAUCUCUGCAUUCGAAAAUUUUCUUAUUUUCAAUUACACUCCGGUCAAAAUAACAAUCCCUUAUACAACAACUGCAAUAUUAACAACUUCCAUUUGUAUUGACACAUUAAAUGAUUUAUAAAACUACAGGUUAGGCCCUCAAACUGUAUCCUUGUUCUUCCUGUGUGUGGCAAUUAUUCUGUCCUUGUAAAAUAUUAUGUCUAUCUUUUCCUGGUCAUUGCUGUCCUCCUUCAUGACUUGGGUGGAGCUAAUAUCCCAUUGUUGUUUCUGCAAUUCUCCCCUUCUUUAAUUCUUACCCUGAAAUGAGCGGGUUUCCUUUUGAAUAAACAUGGUUAGGGUGGGAAUGUCCAGCUACAACCCCGAUCCUAGAGAAAUUAGUGACAAAAUCUCCCAUUGACCUCAAUGCAGCAGGAUUACAUGUUAAAAUAUCCAGGUACAGACAGAGACUACCUGCAAGGCACAAACCACAGGAAAAGACUCGCCUCUUCAUGUCCAGCUUGUGAACCUGCCAAGUCAUCUGGCUGUUGGGCAUACAAUGGAGGAUGAAAGGACCUGAAUGUGAACUAACAAGGCAAUAGCCGUCAAGAGCUUCUUUUUGUUUUACGUGUAUAUGCAAACAAAAGUAGCCCUGAUGUUACACCUGCCAUCUACCUACAGCUUGGCCUUUUGUCAAUAUUAGCUGGUUUUCUUAUGCUUCAGCACCAUUAACAACCGGCAGACAAUCUUCCCAUGCACAGCUCGGGUUUCAGGUUUUGUACAGGAGAAAUGCACAUCCUGUCAUAUUGGAAGGCAGAACUGAAAACAGGACUGCUGCUAAUACUGGACUGGGCUUUAGGGACUCGGUUUCCUUGCGAUUGGCACUAAUUCAAAAGCAUAAUAUUUUCAAGGUACAAAAUGGCCAAUCUGCUUGAGCAAUCAGAUCUUCUCAACGUCGCUGCUCGAUGCCGUUUCAUAACUCUUUGCAGACCAUUAGAGGAUAUUAACGAAAACACUGCUCUGAUCUCAGCAACAGUAGCUGUUAACAGCAGGAGUGCCCUUCCUGGAGAUAUUGAUUUCUUUAUCUGGGGUCUAUUCUUAAGUGAGGAUAUAGACAGAACUGUUAAUCAGAGAUAGACAGAGAGAGAGCACGUGAAACUGCCUAUUUCUUGGGCUGUAAGAUAUGUUAUUUAUAGCGUUCAUGCAUCAAAAGAUAUUCUGCUGUAACUAUUUGAAAGGAAAUAUUCAGGGUGGAAUUCAACUACCUUUUAUUGAUAAAUAAAAUAGACUUAGCCAUGUUUAUUAAUUUCAAUGGGUCUUCUCUGAGGAGAUCUAGCAUUGAAUUCCACCCUCAGUGCUGAAUUUAUCUUUGUGAAUUUAUGGGAUGAGUACAUGAUGAUAUAUGACUGGAUAAAAUGUUGAAGUGGUUGGCAGGAGCUGGGACAGAGCAAGGGAUUCAAACUGCCAACCUUCUGAUUGGCAAGCCCAAGAGGCUCAGUGGUUUAGACCAGUGCUCCCCAACCUUUUUAUCGCCGCGGACCAGUAAAUGUUUGAUAAUUUUUCCGUGGCCCACUUGUUUUGAUUUAAUAAUUUUAAUUUAAUUGUAUUUAAACAUGCCUUCAAAAUAAAAUACAGCUACACCAAAAAAUGAAUAUAAAGUGAUUUAUUUUAUUUAACUCACUAGAAUGCCAAAUCAAUGAGAACCCUGAGCUUGUUUCUUUGCAACGAGACGGUUCCAUCUGGGGGUAAUAGGAGACAAUGACACCCAAAGUGUGUUGCUUAUGUCCAGUUUAUUCCGUUGUUUUGUUUUGGUUGCUGUCACUGCAACUCUCGUUCCUUGAAGGUUUUUAAGCAGUGGUUGGAUAGCCAUCUGUCAUUGAUACUUUAGCUGAGAUUAUGCAGAGGGUUGGACUUGAUGACCCUUGGGGUCCCUUCCAACUUCAGUUCUAUUAUUCUAAUUAUUUAAAGAUGAAGAACCAUAAGAAAAAUCAGGAUCCUUGUUGUUAGGUUGUGGGUGAACAUAUCAGACGGCACAGCGAUUCUCCAAACAGCUCUUGUUUAUUCACAGGUCAGAACAGAACUGAACUGAAGGGUUCAGCCAGCCUGCUUAUAUAGAGCUCCAGUACAACGUAACUCUAACAACUUUCUGUAACUAUCCAAUCACUGAACGUCACUUUCGAUCCCUUAUUUGCAUAUGUGGACCUGAACUAUCUACAGUAUCCCCCUGCUGGCCUAGGGUGAGAACUUCACUUGUCAUUGCACUUGGACUGCAGACUGACGAGCUACAUAGGUUACGGGAUCACAUUUGCCCCCACUAUUUAAUUAUCUCAUGCAUGUCAGUCUUAUACAUAUUUGCAACAUCUUUUCUCUUGUUUUGCAGUAAUACAUUUGUUCUCUUUUGCAACAUUGUCAUCUAUCUUCUGGGCAUAACAGCCACACCACAAAUCUUCCAUUUCUAGCUAUAGCUAUUUGGUUAUGUUUUAAAGCUCCAUCUUUUAUCCUGUAGAUAGUCAUACUGAAUACAACAGAAGGAACCUUGGCUGGUCCAUUUCAUCAUUUUUAGGGAAUGCCCACUGAUAACAUUUCAUUUUCUAGAAAUCUGCUAUGAGAAUUUAAUUUCAGCCGUACUCUUAUCUGAACAUGCUAGUAAAUAACAACCUCCCUUCCAGCACCUCCAUUAGGGCUCAUAUAAAUGGAAAUUUCUUUUAGUGGAGAGAACACAGCCAUUUGAGCUGAACUGCAUGAUCCUUUGCCUCUGGGGAGAGUGAAAAGCUCGCUAUUUUUCAGCAUCCUAUUUAAUUUCUGUUUCAAAUGAGGAUUCAGCGUUCUUGGGAUCCAUUUAUUUGCAUGUACACCUUGACUGAAAUGACAGCAUUUCAGUUAAAUAGGAUGAACGAUGUAAAAAGAGGUAAUAAACUCAAGGCUAGCCAUUAAAACAAAGGCUCGCUUUAAAGCAGGAAAAUUGUAUUGGUGCUCAUUCAGUCUUAGCUUUCGUUGCCUCCGCCCCAUCAGUGUUUUUUUGUAGGACCAAGCCGCACAUAAUGGGAUCUCUUGAUAUAUUUUUCUUUUUCUAAAAGCAGCGGGGGGGGGGUGAUCAGGGCUGUGGUGUGGAGAGCAGGAUUAACCCUUUCCCAGUCUAGGUCAGCUGUAUACUAGCUACAUCUGGUAUGCUGGCUGAGAGCCUACCGGCCUGUGCACUGUCUCGCCAGGGUGGUACAUGCUCUGGUCAGGAUGAGGAGGGGCAAAGUGGUGGUGAGGGGCUCCCAUUUCUGCACCCACCUUGGCCCAACCUCAACACUCUCCCCUUGCCCCAUCCAAGUAGGCUGCAGUUCCAGUGUUGACAGAAGUGUAGCAUCAUUGCUCCACCAACAUACCCUCCAACAUUUCUCCAAUGAAAAUAGGAACGUCCUGUUUAAUAAUAAUAAUAAUAAUAAUAAAAUUUUAUUAUUUAUACUCCACCCAUCUGACUGGUUUCCCCAGCCAUUCUGGGAAGCUUCUUUCUUGUUUUAUAUAAUUUUAUUAACUUUUCUGUUUUACAAUUUAGAAUACUCAUUUAAACAACCUUAAAAUAUCAGUGACUUCCCUUCCUCCAUAACGGGGUGAGCUCCCAUUGUCUGUCCCAGCUCCUGCCAACCUAGAAGUUCGAAAGCACACCAGUGCAAGUAGAUAAAUAUGCACCACUGCGGCGGGAAGGUAAACAGCAUUUCCGUGUGCUCUGGCUUCCGUCAUGGUGUCUUCUUGUGCCAGAAAUGGUUUCGUCAUGCUGGCCACAUGACCCGGAAAGCUGUCUGUGGACAAAUGCCAGCUCCCUUGGCCUGAAAGCGAGAUGAGCGCUGCAACCCCAUAGUUGCCUUUGUCUGGACUUAACUGUCCAGGGGUCCUUUACCUUUACCUAUAGUUGGAUCCAACCAGAAAAUAGUGAGAGUUCGAAAGCACCCACAGAGAAACAGACGUGCCCUAAGCAAGCCAGACUCUUUACAGCACCAGUUUUUAUGAAACUGCAUGUGAAAUGAACAUUCCUUGCAUUACAAAUGUGUAAGACCCUGGCAAAUCUGAAGUAGUGAUACAAUGGUCUCAUCCACAUCAUAAAGUGCAGUUAAAGCACAUGUCUUCCCCCAAAAGAAUCCUGUGAAUUAUAGUUUGUUAAGGGUGCUGGGAAUUGUAGCUCUGUGAAGGGUUCAACUAUAGUUCUCUCUCCCCCCCGGGGGGGGGAGUUGUGGGGGGACGCCAUGGCUGCUAAAAUGGUUAGAAUGUGCUUUGAAUGUAUGUCUACAGAUGAAACCAACAUUAUCUGUGUGGCUGUGAUAAUUACCACCACUUGAGAAAUAUAAAGAGAAGCAAGCAAACUCUUUGGUGCUGCGUUAUGUAAACUGUUAAGUCUUACACCUUUUUGUCAACAUCCUUUAGGGAAAGAAUUAAGCCUGCAUGUAUGCGUGCGUGAGUUUUCCAUCCCUCAAAUAUCAUCCCGUUUUGCCUCCUUCCCCUAAUGGCAUAAUUGAAGUGCUCUGCAGAAGUGUAAUCACUGGAACUAUUCACAGUGGUGAGUAGGUUUUAAAUAAUCAGAUAGGAAAUAGGAAAUGGGCCCUUCUCUGCAGCUAUACGGCUCUGCUCAUUUACUAGCAAAUCUGCAAAUGAGCAAUAAACAGGAUUUCAUUAGCUGGAAAGCAGCAAUGUAUCAUUCAAAACUUAAUUCAGGACUGCGGUUUUGGAAUGGGCUUGCUAUAAAGGUGGCUGGUGUGCUAUUAAGGUUGUGUCUUUUCCAGCCUAGCACGGCAGCAGUCUAUAAUUUCUCUUGAUACGUUCUAAUUGAUGGAUAUAAAACUGGGCUAGGAGGAAAGAGUGAAACUUUAAAAAAGCUAACCUUCUAAUUAAAUACGGAGCAGAACGCACUUCUCCAACCUAUGCUACUUACUACUUUUGUGCUGUUCAGUGGUUUAUUUAUUUAUUUUUAAAAUAUGGUUCUGCAUGUUCAGUUGCAGACCCGAGUCUGGAAACACGAGUUGUCAUCAUAUGUGGUGGUCGUGUAAGGUAAUGAAAGCUUUCUGGGAAAUGAUAUAUAAUGAAAUGAAAAAAAAAUGUUUAAAAUAACUUUUGUUUAAAAAACCCAGAUGCUUUCCUAUUAGGAAUUGUAGGCACCAACAUCCCAAAGGAGCAGAAAAGACUUUUUACAGUAUGUACGCGACAACAACCACACGGAUGUUACUAGCCCAGAGAUAGAAAGAAGAAAGAGUCCCUAAUAGACAGGAAUGGCAAGCCAAGUUGAUGGACUACGCCGAAAUGGCAAAGUUGACUGGAAAGCUCAGGAACUAAGAGGACAAAAACUUUAAAAAAGAAUGGGUAAAGGAAAAUAUUUUCACCAAUAUAUGCCGUUCAAUGCCUACUUUACGGGACAUGGGUGGCACUGUGGGUUAAACCACAGAGCCUAGGGCUUGCCGAUCAGAAGGUCGGUGGUUCGAAUCCCCUCAACGGGGUGAGCUCCUGUUGCUCGGUCCCAGCUCCUGCCAACCUAGCAGUUUGAAAGCACGUCAAAGUGCAAGUAGAUAAAUAGGUACCGCUCCAGCGGGAAGGUAAACGGCUCUUGUUCGCCAGAAGUGGCUUAGUCAUGCUGGCCACAUGACCCGGAAGCUGUACGCCGGCUCCCUCGGCCAGUAAAGCGAGAUGAGCACCGCAACCCCAGAGUCAGUCACGACUGGACCUAAUGGUCAGGGGUCCCUUUACCUUUACCUAUGCCUACUUUUUCCAUGUAUGUGCAUUUUUAUGCACAUUACUUGGCCGGAGGACAGCACUGCAAAGUUCAGAGAUGUGUAACUUUCCAAAGAUGGCUGUAUUUCGGUUCAUGUUUUGUUUCAAAAAGUGCAGAUUAGGUAGAUUCAUUUUAAAAUGUGAACUGAAUCAAAUUUCUCCCUUAUCCGGACUUCUUCCUAUCAUAUUUUAGCUGUUUGAUGGCAACCCAGGUUCCCAAAUACAGAUUUAAAGCCAUUCACAAUAAAUAUUUUUUUUUUCUAACUUGCUGGUCAGACAUAAUACUUUCAUUUUUUCCAGCCUGCCACGAUAUAAUUUAUAUUUUCUCUCCCACCUCACUCCCCUUCUUAUAGCAGCUCAGCAAAAAAACCCCACACAAAUAAAAUGGAACAUCAGUCCCAAAUUUGGAAGUAUUGUUACUGACAUGGAAUAAUGCCUUUUGGUAAAUUGACCUCAAGGGGUGCAUACUCUAAUAUUGUCAUAGAUAAUAUGUUAUCAGCAUAUAAUUAGCAAUGAAUUCACCCAGAAAAACUGUAGGUUGUAAGUUGAUAUUGUCACGCAAGCUGCAAUCCCUGGAGCCAAACCCUCUAAAUAAAUCGCCCGCUCCCCAGUGUGGGAUGCUAAAUAGAAUUGAAAUAGUCAGGUUACCUUAUUUCAAUCCUUUUCUUAUUUCAUCACCAUUAUUAUGCUUUUAAUGCCUUAGCUCAGUGUUUCCCAAAGUUGGAUAACCAACUGUUUUUGGACUACAACUCCCAUCAUCCCUAGCUAGCGAGACCAGUGGUCAGCGAUGAUGGGAAUUGUAGUUCGAAGACAACUGGAGCCCCAACUUUGGGUAACACUGCUAACCGAAUAAAUAGUUAACCAUCUGCCACAAUGAAUGGCCAUUUUUGACAAUUUGGCAGGUAGAGUUUAGUGACCAAGCACCUGGUUCAUGGGAGUUUGGCCCUAGUUUCAUGACAUCAUAUUCCUGUUUUAGAAAAUUCUAAGUAAUAAAAGUGUUUUCAAGAUCUGCCUGUGGUCUUGGAGAGCUAACCAAGACCUACCCAUGUAUACUCAGAUUUAAGUCCUGUUCAGUUCCGUAGGGCCGCCAUGUAAACUUGUACAUUUACUAGGGAAAAAUCUACUUUGAGGUCAGUGGGACUUAUUUCCAAACAAAUAUGCACAGAAUUGCCACCUUGGUCAGCAGUACAGUCUCCUAUGUCAGCAUAACCCUCUUCCCCAUCUUCCUAUCUUCUUUUAAAAAUAUACCCCUUCAUCCUUUUUGUUAACUGAUGAUCACAUUUUCUUCUUCUUUGGUGAUCACUCAUAGCCAAGUAAGAGUGUCUUCCAUGAACACGGUCUUACCAGUGAGUCUGUAAGGGCCUGUGGAGGCCAAUUCUGGAGCCACACGUCCUUCCACAGUGGGGACAAAGGUUUCUGGGUGGGAGUUGAUCAUGGUGAGGGUUGCCAAGCGUGCCUUCCUCUUAGCACGUUUCUCCCUUUUGUCCUGAGUUUGAGCGUCUUCAAAGCCCAUGACACCGUUGAUAAAGGCUGUUCUCCAACUGGAGCUCUCACAGGCCAGUGUUUCCCAGUUGUCGGUAUUUAUGCUAUAUAUUUUAAGAUUUGCCUUGAGAGAGUCUUUAAACCUCUUUUGCUGACCACCAGCAUUGCGCUUUCCAUUUUUAAGUUUGGAAUAGAGUAGUUCCUUUGGAAGAUGAUAAUCAGGCAUCCAAACAACAUGACUAGUCCAACGAAGUUGAUGUCGAAAAUCACCUAUUAUUGUUUGAAUGAAUCAAGGAAAUCCCCUUUACAGUGGUACCUCGGGUUACAUACGCUUCAGGUUACAUACGCUUCAGGUUACAGACUCCGCUAACCCAGAAAUAGUACCUCAGGUUAAGAACUUUGCUUCAGGAUGAGAACAGAAAUCAUGCGGCGGCGGGACGGCAGCAGCGGGAGGCCCCAUUAGCUUCAGGUUAAGAACAGUUUCAGGUUAAGAACGGACCUCUGGAACGAAUUAAAUAUGUAACCAGAGGUAACACUGUAUUUCAAAGAAAGUCUAUCUUCACUGUGUUCUCUGUACAGAAUUCUUUCCUGUAUUGCCAGAGUGACAAGUUCCAUAAUCCAGUAAAAGUUGGCACUCCCUUUAUGGAAACACCUGUUUUGGGAUCUGAGUUUUGCCCCAGGUACCCACACUGCUGCAGGACCUAGAAUCAUAGAGUUGAAAGGGACCCCGAGGAUCAUCUAGUCCAACCCCCUGCAAUAAAGGAAUAUAUACCUGCCCCUUACGGGGACUGAACCUGCAACUUUGGCAUUAUCAGCACCACGCUGUAACCAACUGAGCCUCAAACGUCAGCACCAUAUUGCCUAGUCUCACAACAUUAAAUGUCAGAUUUAAAUUACUUGCACAAUAAUUGAUUAAGUCUAGCCUUAACUUCUUACCCAUAUUUCUCUGUUGCUCACAGCAUGCCAAUUUAAUGUGAUACAAAUGUGCUUCCUGCAGUUACCUUACUGGAGAGAAAGCCAAUUUUUUCCCCUGUCUGUCUUCUGCUGAAAUACUGCUAUGCACAUAAACUGGUUUAGACUCAAUAUUGUUCAGUCCAACGGGGGCAAAUGUGAGCAAAGAAGGACUGUACACACACAGUGGCGAAAUCUCCAAAUGAAUCCGAACUUCAAUGUCUAAAAUCCCUGGUAGAGGACAAGGAUCCUGAGAUCACCUUAAGGGUAGCCAAAUUUGGUGUGAUUGCCAUAAAACUUAGGGAACAAGCUGUGCUAUCAUAAUGAUUAAGACCUUAAAUGAUAAUUUUAGGUUAUAUGUUAGUGACUAAGUUUUAAUUUAUAUAUUUUUUAAUUGUUGCUAUAUCUGUAUUGUCCCUGUUAUACCUAAUUGCAAAUUGAAAUGUAUCCCUAUCGUGUUUUAUGACUUCCUUGAUAUUGUAUGUGGACUGGAACUGGUCUGUGACCGAAAUACCGUAUUUUUUGCUCUAUAAGACUCACUUUUUCCCUCCUAAAAAGUAAGGGGAAAUGUGUGUGUGUGUCUUAUGGAGCGAAUGCAGGCUGCACAGCUAUCCCAGAAGCCAGAACAGCAAGAGGGAUUGCUGCUUUCACUGCGCAGCAAUCCCUCUUGAUGUUCUGGCUUCUGAGAUUCAGAAUAUUUUUUUUCUUGUUUUACUCCUCCAAAAACUAGGUGCAUCUUGUGGUCUGGUGCAUCUUAUAGAGCGAAAAAUACGGUAAUAAAAUUCACACCGUGGCAGAGCUAGCUGCUCUGGCACCCAGAGUGGUGUGCACCUGGGGGCGGGACUAGCAGCCCACGGGGGCGAGGUGAGCAUCCCAGGGGUGCGCUGCCCACAGUGAGAGUCCCAGGGGGUUGGUGCGGUGAUGUCACCCCCCUCAGGGAUGACACCCGGGGCAGACUGCACCCACCACACCCACUUUGCUCCGCCUCUGUACACACAUAUGCCUGAGCUCAAAAGUCAGACUCAGGAGCCUGGCCAGAUUGCCUUGAAGAGUCAAGCCACCUACCGUUGCCUUUCAAGGAGGUGUGAGGAACAUAACCAGCCUCUGUCCAGCUCUUCUUACACCUGAAGAAAUGAUCUGUGGUUAUUGGUUAUUCAGGACAAUCUGACUGGUGCUAAGCAGGUACAGCACGAGACUCCUAAUCUCAGGGUCAAGGGUUUGAGCCCUACGUUGGCUGAAAGAUUCCUGCAUUGCAGAGAGUUGGACUAGAUGAUUCUUGUGGUCCCUUCCUACUCCACAAUUCUAGGAUUCUAUGUGCAGCCUGCAACUCUUACACUGGGAAUUUCGGUCUGGGAAAAUGCAUACGUACAACACAUUCAUCCAUGUGUUUCUCUCUAUUGGAACAGGACAAUCCUAUGUAAGAUAUCAAAAAUCUCUAGCACUGCAGACACACUUCUUAAUAUUUCUGCGUUAGGUCAAUGGGCUGUGUGUGAUUCUUUUUCUUUUAAUGGAGUGAAAAUGCCAGAGCAACAACUUCUUUCUUUGGCACUUCUCUCGAUGUGUUUACAAACUGGUAUUCAUUUUAUUUUUUUUGUCUCAGCACUUCCAGAAUAAACACAAGGGAUUUCUUUGCAGUGGAUGAAUAGCUUCAGGGUCUAGCAUCAUGUGUCUGAAAUAAAUCUAAUGGCCAAUGGAGCAAGGAUUUACAAGCUGAGCUGGGGCAUUGUCAGUUAUCUUUAGCUCGUGCUUAUGAAAUCGUGUAGCUAUAACGCAACGCUACUGCUGCGAUUUUUGUGCAAAAUUUUGUGCAAAAUUUUUGUGCUGUAAGGAUGCAAAGAUGCAUCCGUUACUGAAUAUGAGCGAUAAUGACUUCUUCUUGUUUCAGUGUAUAAGCAGAAGUGAAUGAAGUGUUUGGUGGAGCUCUGUCCUCUACUGAAAUGAAGACACACUCCUCUCUCUCUCUCUCUCUCUCUCUCUCUCUGUGUGUGUGUGUAUAGGAGCCAACUCCUAUGGGCCGCGAGGGCCCCGGCCCCCGCAAUAAAAUAUUUGUGGGGGCUGGGCCCCCACAAAGUUGAUGGGGAUUCCCAUUCAAAUGGUGUGUGUGCACUGGGUCAUGUGAUCAAUUAUGCAGGGUGGGGCUUACCUGCCCCCCACAAUAUUUUGUUCAAGUUGUGUGUGUGUUUGUGUGUGUAUACAUGUCAGGAUGCUGUCAGAGGCUCCUGGCUGGUUGCCCAGGAAAGUAUAAAGACAAGGAAAAGUUUCUUACCGCCCUUUUUUAUUUCAAUCUUUCCAAAGAGAGGCUAUAGAACCCAGCCUCUUGAAUAAUGGAAUUGCCCCGAGUGAAUCUCCACCCCACCGUCUCUCCUACUUCCUCAUUCGUCACUUCUACAGGUGCUGCUACAUGCCCUCUGUCUUUGAGAUCUUUGCUCUCCUACUUUUAAGGCUCACCGGGUUCUGGGAGAUGGAGGGUCUGGGAUGCUUUCUAAUGACAACGUAUCAGCCAGGUGUUGUUCUGGCUCUCCCAUGAUUUCCCAGCUUUCCCCCUCAUCUGCCUCUGAGCUGUGACCUCCCUCAAACCCUUGUUGUAAAUCUAUACUGUCUUCUUCCUCUUCCUCCUCCCCGGAAGGGUCAGGAUGGGGAAGUGGUUUGCCCAUUCCUCCUUUGCCUGGUCCCUGACACCACUUGCUCAUAGUCUUAUGCUUGUUUCUCUUUUCUCUUCCUCUCACAGCUGAAAUGCAGCCUGUAAAUCCCUUGGGUGGGCAGGGACUACUCUUGCUUGUGCUAAUUUGUAAAGUGCAUUGAUGCACACUGAUAAUUACAGUAGCAAGAGUAGUAAUUAUACCUGUCCUGAAUAGACUUGACUGUAGGCUGCUUCAUACGUGAUGUUUUCCUUGCUCUGGGCUGGGGAGGACAAAAACACCUUGUGUGUCACCUCUGUCACAGUCAGGCCUGCACCCAAUUUUGUUUUUGUAGAAUCUCGUUUGUCCUCAGCAACCAAAAUUAUAUUAUCAACAUAUACAAGCAGAAAAGUUGUUUUCCUUCAUUUGCAAGGAAUUGUACAAAACAAAGUGGCACUAAUAAAGAAAAGUUCCAGGGUGGCAACAGAAAGCAAACUAAAAAUGCUUUUGCAGUUCAUCAAAACUAUCCAGCAAUAUCAAGUUAUAGGAAAACUGGUGCUAUUAACAGUAAUCCUUCUAGUUGGUUAAUUGGUUUGGCAACUUCCAUGCACGUGACGUGUGAUGCUAAUUAUUUUCCCCAAAAGUUAAAUGAUAACUAAUCAGAAGCAGCUACAGGAGAGCUAUGAGAUUCAGGUGGGGGUCAGAUGCCUUGUCAAUCCCAGCAGGUAUAUAAGAGGACGACUCGGCCUGCCCAGCAUGGAAGACUUGCGUAUAGUACACAGAUCUGAAAGGGCCACAAAGGGUAAACCACCCAAAAGGUAUGCUGAAGAGUUUGCUAAAACAGUAAAAGCAGAUACAGCUGUUGUUAGUAACUCAGAGAAGGUUUGGGAACCUUCAAGCUUCCAAGAGGUCCAAAGUUUAACCUCAGAGGAUGCUGAGCCAUGGUUAAAUGCCAUGAAGGCUGAACUUGAUUCCUUAGAGAGGAACAAGACAUGGGAACUAGUUCCAGGCCUGCCUAGGCCACAAAACGUUUACAAAGUUCAGUUAUUGCAAAAGUUUUUCAGUGUUAAUUUUAUGCAUUUUUAAAAAUCACCAUGGUAUUUAACAAUAAUAUCUUAUGUCCUUUACAUAAAAAAAGAAGAAGAUCAUGGCCACUGGGCCCAUCACCUCCUGGCAAAUAUAAGGGGAAGAAAUGGAGGCAGUGAGAGAUUUUACUUUCUUGGGCUCCAUGAUCACUGCAGAUGGUGACAGCAGUCACGAAAUUAAAAGACGCCUGCUUCUUGGGAGAAAGGCGAUGGCAAACCUAGACAGCAUCUUAAAAAGUAGAGACAUCACCUUGCCAACAAAGGUCCGUAUAGUUAAAGCUAUAGUUAUAGUUAAAGAAUUGACACUUUUGAAUUAUGGUGCUGGAGGAGACUCUUGAGAGUCCCAUGGACUGCAAGAAGAUCAAACCUAUCCAUGCUGAAGGAAAUCAGCCCUGAGUGCUCACUGGAAGGACAGAUCCUGAAGCUGAGGCUCCAAUACUUUGGCCACCCCAUGAGAAGAGAAGACUCCCUGGAAAAGACCCUGAUGUAGGGAAAGAUGGAGGGCACAAGGAGAAGGGGACAACAGAGGACGAGAUAGUUGGACAGUGUUCUCGAAGCUACCAGCAUGAGUUUGACUGAACUGCGGGAGGCAGUGGAAGACAGGAGUGCCUGGCGUGCUCUGGUCCAUGGGGUCACGAAGAGUCUGACACGACUAAAUGACUAAACAACAACAAAUCUUAUGUCCUUUAGAGGAGAAAAUGUGAAUUGUAGAAUUUUAAAUACCCGUCAUCAUCCUUGGCUUCACUCAAUUUUGUUUAUAACCCUCUUCCAUUUUCUUCUAGUUGUGAGAGUGGGGGGUGGGGAGGGGCCUCUCUUCAUCCAAAUCCAACCCUGGGUUAGGCCUCCUGUCACAUAUCUGCAGCCUUUGUGACUUCAUCCUUCGUGGCUCCUUUUUGUGCUUAAAAACUCUGCAGGAGAUCCCAUCGCAGACCUCCUACUUUCCUGCUGAGUCACAUCCCAAAUCUAUGCUCACAAACGAGCAUAUGCACGAAUCCUUCUUAACCACUCCCCUUUACGAAGACGUGCCGUUCCCCAAAAAAUCUCCUCCUAGUUUUGUUGCACAUAAAUAAAUGAACAAAUACAUAAACAGGAUGCAGCUCUAGACUUUCCAAAGCCCAAACCAGCCUCUGCUUUGUGCAGCCGACUGAAGAAAGCCCUCCGUAUUGCGGGCAUGGUUAAUGACAGUGGAAAGUAAGCAUCAAUUUUGUUGAGCAGCAUUAGAAUACAGGACCUCCUGCCGCGCUCACCAGUAACUUGCUUUGCACAGCUGCUUUCUCAGCUGGGAGUUCUAAAUCAGCGCUGCGAGAACAGACAGAAAUGACCAUUAUGCAUUUGCUCACGAUGGCAAUUUGCCUUGCAGUUAUGGAAAGGUACUGUUCAAUUAAUACUCUAACCUUCUGCUUUCCUACAAGCGCCUUCCUUUCCCCUUUCUCAAAACAAAUUCAGUCUGCUGAGCUCAUGGCUUUAUAACGCUGCUGCUGGAUUGGACUUAAUUCGUUCCAGAGGUCUGUUCUUAACCUGAAACUGUUCUUAACCUGAAGCACCACUUUAGCUAAUGGGGCCUCCUGCUGCCGCCGUGCCGUCAGAGCACGAUUUCUGUUCUCACCCUGAAGCAAAGUUCUUAACCCGAGGUACUAUUUCUGGGUUAGCAGAGUCUGUAACCUGAAGCGUAUGUAACCUGAGGUACCACUGUAUAUUAUUUUCAGUGAAGACAGGAGUGCCUGGUGUGCUCUGGUCCAUGGGGUCAUGAAGAGUCGGACAUGACUAAACAACUAAACAACAACAACAACAACAACAUUAUUUUCAGUGUGUCUACUCUGAGUAGGAGUGGCACUGAAUGCAACCUAGUGGGUGAGAUUCAGCUAAAGUUGCCUGCAGCUGCUAACCAUAUGGUUAAAUGGCUAUUAUACGGUUUGUGACAUUUUGAAUUCUCCCCGGUGUGCACACAUCUUUGUUUCACAGCCCUCUAUCUUUGGAUUAUAGCAGAGCUUAUAUGCAAUAUUUCCUCCUCGGACUUUAUGUUGGCAUACAUAGGGGAACUGGUACCAAGUGGUCUAUAGUCACUUCAAACCAAGUUGGGGUCGCAGUCUUAGACGCAUGUAUCUUCAUAACUCCCCUUGAGCUCAGUGAGGUUUGCUUAGUAAACAUGCACAAGACUGCACUGUGUGUUACAAGGUUUCAUAUUUCCCUUCCAUAGGCAUAUGGCGAUUGCCAUGCUGGGCCAGACAUAUUGUCUAGCUUAUCAGCUUGCUUCCAACAGUGAUGAGCAUUGGAUAGCUCUGGCUUCAAAGAAGAUGAAAGAAAUUAAGCGGUAGGUGGGACAAUCCACUCCAGCUGAAGGUUUCAUUCUAAUCCUUUGGAUGUAAGUGUAUUGAUUCAAAGAGUGAAGUGGUUGUUUGGUAUAAUUUCUCCCAAAUCUUUCAAAAUGGUUUCCAAUACCGGGUUGUUGUUUUUUUGGGGGGGGUCUACUUUAGCCCUUUGAGUAUCAGUUCAAUCUCUUUCAAUCCUCCCAAAAUGGUAGCCUUGUUGACAAUUAAUGUGAGGCAAUAACAAUACUCUCUACAAUUUUGAGGGUAUGCCAGCACCGGCCUGCAACCUUUUUUCCUCCAACACUAAAACUAAGCUCUGGUCUUCGUUUUCUAACUUUGAAUUGAGGGAAGGCCUCACCCAUUUGAUUUUUGGUCCAGAGCUUUUGCUUUCUUAACAGCCCAGUACCUUCCCAUUGUUCUCUUACUGGCUCAUCACCUUUCCUUUGUUUUCUUAAUGGCUCAUCUCCCAGGUGAUCUCCUGAACAUGGGAAGCUGGAUCCAGGGUUUAGGAGUCCCCCCAAACCUUGAUUAAAUUCUGAAACCUACUUAACCCAGGAAUUUAGUGGAGUCUGGCACCUACAAACUCCCUGGCCGGGGAGGGCGGGGUACAAAUUAAAAUUUAUUUAUUAUUAUUAAUAAUACCAAUGACACCAGCCCACAGCGACCCCAAAAAUCUGUUCCCUUGUGGCUAGAACUUUCCUUUUUAGGAGAACAGUGAGGAAAGGGCUUUGAUUUGUUCUAGAGAAAGGGGACGCCGCAAAACCAGGUGUUCCCGACCACAUUCCUGAUGGGAAAUGACUGCUCGUGAAUGAGUGCAGAGAAUACAGGACCUGUUUAAAAUGAGAGCAGGGUUUCCACUUCUGUUUUGUUGCCAGUAUAGAAGGGGAAAAACCCCCACAAAAUUUCAAGGCUGUGCUAAUGUUCUUUCUUAAGCCACAUCCCUGAAAAAUUAUUAAGGGCAACAAGCUAUAUUUUUGACAAAGUGUCCAAGGUAACUAUUAGAGAGCUUCUGAUACACAUGUACCAUAUUUCUCGCCUGUCUAGCACACACUAAUUUACCCACCUGUUCUAGCCUCUAUCGGCUGCACAAAUUAGAUUGUCUCAGGGGAGGUUGUGCAGCCGAUUGGUUCAGCCUUGCUACCAAGGCAACCAUUUUCUCUCCGCUAUAUGAUUUAGACACUGCUUUACAACUCAGGUUUGGCUGGCAAACAAAGAAGCAGAGUGGGGAAAGACAUUGGUUCUAUGUUUGAACACAGAGGCGGUCUGUAUUUAAUGAAUAUUCACAGUGGAAUUUUAUUCGGUAAAAGUGGAGAAACUGCAUUUCCUAAACGUGAGGGAGAGAAACCCCCCCCAUCAAUUCUUUACAAUAUAGCAGCUAUAUAGCUAAGCUAAUGAAAGAUGAAUGAAACAUUAAGACUACCCCCCCAUCCAAAAAAGUGAAGGAAUCUUAAAGGGAAACAAAUUAGUAUAUUCAUUGCUUCACAUUUUUUGUGCAAUGAGGAUUAGAUGCACAGUUGUCUUGAUCAAAGUCAUUUGUGUAGAAAAGAAACCUUCAUUUGAGAAAAACCCACAUGUUGCAAGCAAAUAUGCCUUUGUCGCAUUUAUCCUGUCUUUUCAGGAUGUGGGGACAGGAAUAGUGUGUUCCACUCUGAAAAUUAGAUUCCUGAAUCCAAAUAUUUAGUGGUGUAUUUAAGAUUUAUAUGUCAGUGUUUCAGAACUCUGGAGGCUUCCAGUUCUUGGCUUUAGGCUCCUCUCCUCUUUCUAAUUUUGCCUUCGCCUCUCUGGCCAUCUCCUGUACUCCAGAUUUCUCUGGAUAAGUCCGCUCUGAUUUCCAACCCCCCUUCUUGAACACUCUCUGAUUCCUUGGUCUUGCUGCCUAUUACUUUCAAUGGCUCUCCUGCCCUAACUCAUAGCUGUCAACCUUCCCUUUUUUUGCGGGAAAUUCCCUUAUUCCAGUGCCGUUUCCCACUGCUUCCCGCUGCUAUCCUGGAUUGUUAGAUAUCCUGUAGACUGUCCCCAGGACAGGUGAGGCUGCUGAUCCCUUAUUUUCAAAUCUGAAAGUUGGCAGCUAUGCCCUAACUGCUCUCUCUUAACAUCUGAGCAGAUUAUCCAAUGGCAACUGGAGACCACUGCUGGCCUCUCUCUGUGUGUCAUUAGAGUCACUUGCAGUCCUGUUUACAUUUAAUUAUUAGGAUUUUUUUUUUUACUUGUAGCUAGGAUAAUCCAUUCAGUUCAAGGAAGGGUAUUUAGCAGUGGCCCUAAAGCCACCUUCUUCAAAAAGGAAAGCACCAUUAUCAUUUGUAAUUCCCACUAAUACCCAUGGAACUUUGCAUGCUGAACUGGUCUCUGCUGGUUGGCCUGGUGGCACUGACAAGCUUUGCAUUGCAAUUUAUUUUGCAUCUUUACUCAUGUCUCCAGUUACUUUUAGGUUAAUGUAGAAUUUAUAUGUAGUGCGGUGAAAAGCAAUUUGUUUCCCCCCAAUUUUACGGUACUUGAGCUUUGUACAUAUAUAGUUAGCAAACAUAAUAUCCAUUACUGUAGACUGCUUGUCUGCUUCUUCCUACAGCUAGUCCCUAUGGGUCUAUUUACUGAACAUGCCCAGCCCCAUAAAUAGAACAAUCUCUCUUGAUAUAUCAUCUGGCAAAAAGAGAAAACUGGGAUGAGUAGUUAUGAGCCUCUUCAAUUGCCAUUAUGGGGAACUAUGAGGUAGGAAGAGAGGAAUCUAGAAACAAUGCAACGGGGAACUUGGCAUACACUUUAUGCGAUGCCUUCACUAAGAGGGGAAGCGGGGGCAAUAUAUAUCUAGUUUAUAUAUUGCAGAAGAACCAAGUGUUCAAAGAUUUUCCUGGAUCGAACUACUUUGGUCUGUAGAUCGGCAGUUGUGUAUUCAAAUGCUAUAUCAUGGAAAGCUUCUCUAUAUGCAGAAUAUGAACAGGUUGUAUUAAAUGGCUUGGAUUAACCUUCUCUUUGUCACAUGAUUUUUCUAGCUGCAAGGAAUUGUAUAUUUUUAUAGAGGAACAUUCAACGUCAAACCCAUACCUGUAGCCUGAGGUGCAAUAGCUCAGGAGAAGCUUUAAGACUUAAUGCCAAUGGAAUUAAAAACAGAGGGUCAUAUAUUAGGGCUUUUUAACGGAUUAACACAUAUCUCUAGCUGUUGAUUCUUUGAGGAUGGACCAGGAGGCAUUGGUCAUUUCAGAUUCAUGUAGGUGGCACCAGAGAGAGGUGAAGAGGAACAAGUGACAAGUAGCUCACUCUGUUUCAGGGGUGGGGAACCUGAAGAGCCAGUGUGGUGUAGUGGUUAAGAGCAGUAGACUCGUAAUCUGGUAAACUGGGUUCGCAUCUCCGCUCCUCCACAUGCAGCUGCUGGGUGACCUUGGGCUAGUCACAUUUCUCUGAAGUCUCUCAGCCCCACUCACCUCACAGAGUGUUUGUUGUGGGGGAGGAAGGGAAAGGAGAAUGUUAGCUGCUUUGAGACUCCUUCGGGUAGUGAUAAAGCGGGAUAUCAAAUCCAAACUCCAUCUUUCCUGAUCAUUGGCCAUGUUGUGUGGGGCUGACUGGAGCUAGAGUCCAAGAAACACCCCUGCUCAGUCUAUGCUCUCCAUUUCUGAGUUGCUGUGAUCACUUGAAGAAACAGGGCCAAUCCUACCAUUAGACAGAAUGAAGAAGUAGAGAAGCUGUCCCCAGUGCUGAAGUAAGAACCAAAGACCGUAUUUUUCGCUCUAUAAGACGCGCCAGACCACAAGACGCACCUAGUUUUUGGAGGAGGAAAACCAAAAUACCAAAAAAUUCUGAAUCUCAGAAGCCAGAACAGCAAGCGGGAUCGCUGCACAGUGAAAGCAGCAAUCCCUCUUGCUGUUCUGGCUUCUGGGAUAGCUGCGCAGCCUGCAUUCGCUCCAUAAGACGCACACACAUUUCCCCUUACUUUUUAGGAGGGGAAAAGUGAGUCUUAUAGAGCAAAAAAAUAUGGUAAAUCAGGGAGAGAUGCCAACUUGUCCUUUUGCCUCAGGGAGCAAUAUGUGAAGGGAAUGCACUUUUCUUCCAAAAAAUAACUGAAUUAUAAAAAGGGAAUUUGAAGAAGGCUGCAAUCCUAAGCAUACCAAUUGAUAACUAGCUGAGAUUACUGCAUUGCAGGGGGUUGGACUAGAUGACUCAAUGAGGCCCUUCAAACCCAACAAUUCUAUGGUGCCCAAUGAUAAGAUCAUUCUGUAAUAAAAAGAAAUUGUUACUUGGGGGAAUUGAAUUGAAUUCUAAAUUAUAUUCCGGAAAUGUGGGAGAUUACAAGCGGUAAAAAAAUAUAUGGAUGUACCGUGCUAUAUUAGAAAGAAAAAAACUUGUUUUGAUGAAUUGGAAGAGCCGCGAAAAGAUUCCAUUGAGCACAUGGAUUGAUAAUAUGGACAGAUUAGCUACAUACGAACGAAUUGCAUGUCGACACAAAUUAAGAAUGGAUAAAUAUGAAGAAAUCUGGAAGGAACAUUUAAGUGAUAAGGCGGAUAGUGGUGGGAAGUAGGGGGAGGAGAGAGAGGUGGGAAAAUAUUGUUAAAAAGGUGUAGUCAUAGGUAUAUCAGUGUAUUCAAAUCUGAAUUGUCAAAUUGUGUUAUCAGUGUCAUUAUGGUUUUUGUUGUAUGUGUCUUUUUACGGUUGUUGUUUGUAUUGAAAAAAUGAUUAAAUAUUUUUUUAAAAAAAACCAAUUCUAUGAUUCACAUCAGAGAAAAUGUGUUUAGGAAAAGAGUGUAAUAAACUCCAUCUCCACCUCCCCACCAAUCUAAUAUGUGAGGCCAAGCUUCAACCUCCCCAAAAGACUUCCCCCCAUGUCUGUCUCUCUGUUUGUCAAUCUUGCACAUUUAGUACAGACCAGGGGGGGGGGAUAUGAAAUAGAAGUGUGAGUAAGCUUCUUACUGCUACAUCUUGCAGAACUCGCAAGACUAUUUCGAAUGUUGACCUCUUGCUGCAAAAGUCUAAGUGUGUAUGUGCACAUUAUAAAUUAUCUUAUCUUAUGGACUCUUACUGUUUUUGCAUUUUGCACUUAAACUUUAUUUUUCAGCUGCUUUCCGUGGUAAAGCCAAAAACAAUGAAAUACUGAUUCAUGCGUCAAAUCACAUGGUCAGCAAAGUAGUGUGUGAUGCAGGUGGAACUCGUAGGCUGCAUUAUUAAUAUCUCUGGACUAAUGUACUCAAGGGAGCCAUAUAUAAAGUUGUGCUUAUACAUCAUGUUGCAGCACAGGCUAAUACUUUUUUCAACUCCAGCCUGAAAUGCCUUCAGAAUGCCGGCAUAUUUGUCUUACCUUCCUUCAGGUGUCUCCAUACACAUAUCUGUUCAUCAAGUUAUCUACUACUGUGGAGAGGGCUUCCUUAUCAGCUUAGGGGGGAGCUGUCUAUGGUACCAAGUUAGUCUCUGUUUAUAAAAAGGUAAAGGACCCCUGACAGUUAAGUCCAGUCACAAACGACUCUGGGGUUGCGGUGCUCAUCUCGCUUUACUGGCUGAGGGAGCCGGCAUUUGUCCAUGGACAGUUUUUCCGGGUCAUGUGGCCAGCAUGACUAAGCCCCUUCUGGAGAAACCAGAACAGCGCACAGAAAUGCCAUUUACCUUCCCACUGGAGCGGUACCUAUUUAUCUACUUGCAGUUUGACAUGCUUUCAGACUGCUAGGUUGGCAAGAGCUGGAACCGAGCAACAGGAGCUCACCCCAUCCUGGGGAUUUGAACCGCCGACCUUCUGAUCGGCAAGCCCUAGGCUCAGUGGCUUAGACCACAGCGCCACCUGCAUCUGUUUAUACAUCACAAUAAAUAUGCAGCUAUUACUCACCCAUUGUCAUCAGACAAUUUCCUUAAGGUAGUGUUAUGAGCACAUUGCUUUUCUUUCCCCCAGCACUCAGCAUCAAAUAUAUUUUUUCCUGGGAAAAUGAUUUAUGCAUGCCCACAUGCACAUAUGCAUCCCAGCCUUGUUGUUACUGCAAGGUGGAAUAUGUUUGCACAAGUAUUAUAUUGGAUAGCGCCCAUAACAGCUAUGCAACACAACUCCAAACACCUGUGGAACUUUGAGGUACCACUAGGGUUGCCAUACAUCCAGAUUUUCCUGGACAAGUCCUGGAUUCCAAUGACGGAAUUAGUAUCUGGGGAGAAUCAUUGAAAGCUCAACAACUUUCUCCAAAAAAGCUCAACAACUCAUGCCCAUGUAGCCUUAAGAAAAACAGAAACCCAUAAUGAACACCUCCAUUUAUUGAAUGGGAAUGGUAUAUUGCACUGAUGAACCUAGUAUAAACGUAGCAGUCAAAACUGUACAGCAGGGAAUCAGUUUGUGAUCUGUUGAGGCCCAUUCAUAUGAUUGUCAGCUCAUAGUUAAGAUUUUACCUUUGCUUUCACUAACUGCAUUGCUUAGCCGAGUAAAAUAGCAAUAUACUUUGGAAACACUUGAAUUCUUAUAUAUCCACAAAGUACCCACUAUGAGAGAUAGUGUGGACAGAGUGCUGGGAUUAGACCCAGAAGAUCUGAAUUCAAAUCUUCCUUCAGCUAUGAAAAUUACUAGGUGACCUGAGAUCAGGCAUCAUCUCUCAUAUUCCUCACAUUGCAGGUGUAUAAUUGAUGAAGGGCACUUGCCUGAAAGCUUAUGUAAAUAUGUGUGCAUGGGAGAUCUGAGAAAUCAUAGCCCUUGUGUGCAGGCUUCCUGUGCAUUUUCAGUCAGAAGUCACACAUGACAAUGCACACUAUGAGAAUAAUUGGUGGGAAAAAUUUGGAACCAUAUCUUUCCUGUAAUGUCAUAAUGAGCUUUAGUUUUGCUUCAGAAUGAUGUUUCCUCCUCUAUCAGAGACAAUAUGUUUCUGAAUGUCGGCUAAGAGGACUCAGAAGUGGGGAGUGUGUUGUUGCACUCAGGUCAUGCUUUGGAGACGCGGGUGGCGCUGUGGUCUAAACCACUGAGCCUCUUGGACUUACUGAUCGGAAGGUCGGCAGUUCAAAUCCCCACAACGGGGUGAGCUCCCGUUGAUCGGUCCCUGCUCCUGCCAACCUAGCAGGUCGAAAGCACGCCAGCGCAAGCAGAUAAAUAGGUACCGCUGUGGCAGGAAGGUAAAUGGUGUUUCUGUACGCUCUGGUUUCCAUCACAGUGUUCCGUUGCACCAGAAGCGGCCGCAUGUUGGCCACAUGAUCCGAAAAGCUGUCUGUGGAUAAACGCCGGCUCCCUCUGUGUGAAAGCGAGAUGAGCACCACACCAUAGCUGUCAACCUUCCCUUUUUUGGGUGGGAAAUUCCCUUAUUCCAGCGUCAUUUCCCGCUGCUUCCUGCUGCUAUCCCGGAUUGUUAGAUAUCCCGUAGACUGUCCCCAGGACAGGUGAGGCUGCUGAUCCCUUAUUUUAGAGGCUGCUGAUCCCUUAUUUUCAAAUCUGAAAGUUGACAGCUAUGCACCACACCCCAUAGUUGCCUUUGACUGGACUUAGCCGUCCAAAUUCCUUUACCUUUACCUUUUACCUAAUAUUUCAGUUUGAAGGUGUAAACGUAUGUGAUGUUUAAAUGCUUCCUUAAGGGAAAAACCAAUAAUACAAAACUCAUUUCUGUAUUGUAAGCGAGAUAAGUGCCACAACCCCAUAGUCUCCUUUGACUGGAUUUAACCAUCCAGGGGUCCUUUACCUUUUUUACCUUUACCAUGCUAUGAAGUUUCCCAUAGGCAUCUGGUUGGACAAGAUGUUGGACUCGAGGAGCCUUUGGCUUGAUCCAGGAGGCUUUUAAUGACCUUGUGUUCUUAAGACUUGAAUUCAAGAGGAUUUCUUUCUAUAGGGCAGAAGCUCAGAGCAAACACAGCAGUAAGCCUGAUAGGAGCCCAGCAACCCUGGUUAUGUUAUCUUUGAGAAGCUGUUAUGAAUGAAUGUAUUUGUGCAGUUGUUCUGGUGUUUAGCACCCAUCUCAUUCUCUGUGUAAAUGGCAGUUUGCAGGACAUGAAUAUAAAACAGUAUAAAACAUGAUACAGUUAAUCAUGUUCAUGCCCACUAUGGUUUCAUUUUUUUAAAACAAAGAAACAAGGGUUCUUGCCUGUUCAAUACCUUGCGAUAGCAUUUUGGUCUGUGUGGAAAUCUGCUCUCUUAAGUUCUUCAGAAGCAAUAUGUAUGCUAACCUGUCAACCACACUUUUGUUCAUUGAACACAGUUGCUAGGGAAACCAGCUCCUUUAUAUGUGCUCAAGGUAGCCAUCUUUUCCUACUCUGUCUCAGGGAAUUGUAGCCAGAUUCGCAGCCCCGAAUUCAAGACCAUAUACUGCAGCUUGCUUAACCCUUAAGUUGGCCAGAAAUAUGCUGCAAGACCUGGCCUGUCAAACUUAAGUGGUGCCCGCAGCUAGGGUAUCUCUCUCGGCACAACCAUUUUUAGCUCAACUGCUAGCAGCAGAGCUGAGAUCUAUGCUCUCUGUGCACAAAGAUACAUUGCAUCUCUGUCUCUAUCAGUAGAGGCUAGGCCACCCUCUGUCAGGGGAGAUGAAUAUGCUUUGCUCCUCCCGCAACACUGUCCCCCGAUGCAAUGUUUUUAUUCAUAAGAGCAAAGGGCAACCAAUCUGCUAAAUGGGAUGCACUCAGGUGGAGGGAUAUGUCAAUUGCAGUUUCUCUUGGUUUCCCAUUUUUCCAGUCUCAACAUCAAUUCCCCACAUCAGUUUGUGCAAUUUUUUUAAGCUUUCAUGAAAAUUCUUCAGCAUUUAUCGUGGAUUUUCUUCUCUCUCUCUUUUUAAUUUUUUUUUAUUCAAAAUUAAAACAAGACAUAUUAUCCAAAAACAUAUCAUCCUUGUCCCCCCCCAUUUUUCCUCCCUCCCCCUCCCACACAAAACCCACCCGCCCCCACCCCCCGACUUUCCUCAGUUCCAGUCUUUGGUUUCUUUGAGACUGCUGUUUUCUGCAUGUUUCAAAGUUGUAUAGAUCCUCAAACUAUUUAGCUGAUUAUUAUCAAUAAAAAGUUUGUGGAUGUUUAUUCAAAACCUGCCAAGGAGUCCAGUUCACUUUGUUGCGUCUUCAAAUACUUUGUGAAAGGUUCCCAUUCAUCCUUAAAGUCACAGUUAUCCUUGUCCCGUAGCUUAUAUGUCAGUUUUGCCAGUUCUGCAUAGUCCAUCAAUUUUUCUUGCCAUGAUUCUUUAGUUGGGGUUUCUUCAGUCUUCCAUCCGUGUGCUACCAGAACUCUCGCGGCCGUUGUCGCAUACAUGAAGAUUUUUUUCAGCUUUUUUGGCAGGUCUUUCCCUACAAUCCCCAACAAAAAUGCCUCGGGUUUUUUUUAACAAAUGUUAAAUGGAACAUUUUCUUCAAUUCAUUGUAUAUCAUUUCCCAACAUUUUAAAAUUACAUUACAAUCCCACCACAUAUGAUAAAAUGUCCCUUCCUUUUCCUUACACUUUCAACAUAUAUUUGAACUAGUUUUGUACAUUUUCCCUAACUGCCUGGUGUUGUGUACCAUCUAUACAUCAUCUUCAUGUAAUUCUCUGUGGAUUUUCUUCUCAAUGCACACAUUUUUGCAAAGCAGUUUUCCCCGACAUAAUGCAUUUUUGUAUUUUUUAAAAAUACUCAUAUAUGCAUUUCUAUGCACACUUAUCUUAGUAUGUGCAUUUUAAAACCCACCACAUGGUUAGAACACAGCAUUACCACAUCAGUAGACGGGUGAAUUUUGAAGGAGAACUGUAUUUUGGUUCAUGUAUGAAUUAAGUAAGUGGACAUUUAAAUGUAUACUAAGUUGAAUUCCUCCACUGUGAAGGACAUAACUUUUCUCCCAUUUGACUGUGUUCUAGCUUGCAGACCAUUAAGUCUUUCUCACAGAAGUCAAUAGGAAUCUUUCAAAACCAAGCUAGACCAUUGCCAUUGAGUUCUGUUUUUCGGUCACACUAGAGCAGAGAUGGGAGCCUUCCUUUUUAUGUCAGGUUCCACAUACCUUUGGGAUUAAUCUGUCAGGACCACACAUCUAGGGCAGAUGUGUCCUGUUUUCCGCUGCCACCACUGUUGCCACCCCUUGCACUGCCCGGCCUGCCGCCAGUGAGAUCUCACCCAAAAUCAAAUUAAAUCUUGUGUACUCCAAUGCUGCUGCUGCCUCAGGGGCUUCUGCUGCCUGAAGCAAUGGUCUCACCGCACCUAAUGGUUGAGCUGCAUCAAUGGUUGAGCCGGAUCAGGGACGCGGGUGGCGCUGUGUGUUAAACUACAGAGCCUAGGACUUGCUGAUCAGAAGGUCAGCGGUUCGAAUCCCCACGACGGGGUGAGCUACCAUUGCUCGGUCCCUGCUCCUGCCAACCUAGCAGUUUGAAAGCACGCCAGUGCAAGUAGAUAAAUAGGUACCACUGCGGCGGGAAGGUAAACAGUGUUUCCGUGUGCUGCUCUGGUUUGCCAGAAGCGGCUUAGUCAUGCUGGUCACAUGACCUGGAAGCCGUACGCCGGCUCCCUUGGCCAGUAAAGCGAGAUGAGCGCCGCAACCCCAGAGUCGGUCACGACUGGUCAGGGUUCCCUUUACUUUUACCUUUAAAGUCAGCAGUGUGAUGGGGCGGAGGCCAAAAGCCUGUUAUAGGUGGAGCCAAAACAAAAAAUGAGUGGCACCAUUCAUUUCCUUCUGUCUUCCCCUUUUCUCUCUCCCUCUCUCUGCUUCUCUCUCUUGCUGCUUGAUUUCUGUAUUGAUCGGGGAGGGAAAGGCUCAACUUUUUCCUCUUUUCAGCAAGACACACAGCAGUCACCCGCUCUGUUCCUCCUCCAGUAACUUGCUUGGCUACAGCAGGACAGGUUUGAGAGAUGCGGGGCAAGGAAGUGAGGCAGGAAUGUGCAGUGGACCAGAUAUGGUCUGGGGGUUGGUAGCCUUCCUCACCCCUCAGAGUUUGACGGGACCAAGGAAAUUCCCAAUUUGUUAUUUGAUCUUGGCUGCCAUGUUCUCCUCCUUCAAGCAGUGAAUUUGAGCAGGAUCCCUUUAGGUAAGCCAGCUCCACACCCAAAGGAAACACAAUGCGUUUAUUAUCUGCAUAGCAGUGAGGUGAUUGGCAGGCGUGCUUUGUUGUCUCAGCAAAGCAUCCUUACAAAAGCAACUGUGCCUGCUGAACUUCUUCCUUGCCACACAAGCUGUUAAAAACCUAGGAGAUGGCUUCCCUCAGCAGGUCAGGGUUUUUGCUGUUGCUGGGGUGGCGGCAGCGACAAGGUGGCAUGUAUGACAUCGUAUCAAAUAUAAGUGGAGAGAGCGAGAGCCAAAUCCGUUGUCUGAGCACAAGGACAGAGAUGUGCAGGCACAUCCUGAAAAAUCAUCUUUCUCCUUCACAGCUAGGAGUUAAUGAGGGAAUUGUCUGGAUUUCUAAUGAAAGCGAUCGCACUGAGCAGGGGAACAGCACUGUGGAUGUAUUUAUUUAUUUUUGGUCACCAACCAUAUGCUUGGGGACAAGAGCAGCAAAGAAAAGGCUGCUGAACAAGAGUGUUGAUUUUUCAUGUCACAAGGAUGCGUGCUCUUCAAUUUAAUCCAAUACAGUCACUUCUGGCUAAUCUUGAGGUCCCAGAGCCAUCUGUUAUGUUGCACCAGAUUCCAUCUCCUGAGAGGAGGGGGUUGGGCGUCCCUGGAGAUGCUUCAUCUCCCAUGAACUCGCAUGUCAAGCCAGAAUGACAUCAUAUUUUUUGCAGAAGCUUGUUUUGGGGGUGGGGAAGCAUCUGUCCCACCCUUUGCGUUGCCUUCUCUGUAUUGCUCUGGGAUUUGAUCAGCCCAAGGCAAGCAGCUCCUCUCCCCUCUUACUGAGGAACUACAAUCCCAAUCCUUUCCAAUAGCAGUCAUGCGACAACACAGAGAAGCAUAUUGAUUGACAUUAAGGAGUCAUUUUAUUUCUUAUUAACUGUUUCCCUUUCUGGGUGGAGAUGCCCAAAGUGGGAGACAAAGCAUAUAAAGAAGAACACAGCAAACGCACACACACACAGUGACAACAAUCAGCCAUGGUUAAAAUUUCACUCAGAACAUUGAAAACUCAGCACAAAAAAUAGCAUACUAACACCGUCAAAAUAAUGCAGAGAGGCCAAACUAAAACACCUCCCUAUGCAGACCAAAAUAGGUAAAGGUAAACGACCCCUGGAUGAUUAAGUCCAGCCAAAGGAGACUAUGGGAUUGGGGCGCUCAUCUCGCUUUCAGGCUGAGGGAGCCAGCGUUUGUCCACAGAAAGUUUUCCGGGUCAUGUGGCCAACGUGUCUAAAUCGCUUCUGGCACAACGGAACACUUGACGGAAACCAGAGUGCACGGAAACUCUGUUUACCUUCCAGCCUCAGCGAUACCUCUUUAUCUACUUGCACUGGCUCCUGCUAGGUUGGCAGGAGCUGGGACAGAGCAACGGGAGCUCACCCCAUCAUGGGGAUUCAAACCACCGACCUUCUGAUCAGCAAGCCCAAGAGGCUCAGUGGUUUAGACCACAGCGCCACCCGCAUCCCCCAACAGUAACAACCAUAGGAGGUAGGUUAGGCUGGGAGGAAGUGACUGGUCAAGCUGAGCUUCGUAUCUGAGUGGGGAUUUGAAUCUUGGCCUCCCAAGUCUUAAUCUGACAUUCUAACCACUACACCUCACUGGGUGUCAGGUUGAGGCCAUAGUGUGUGGGUAGCCUUGGAGUCCAGUACAGCCAUAUCUGGUGCCGCCUGGGAAAUUAUUAUAAGAAAGGAAGAACAGACAGCAGAAUAUUACCACGAAAUAUGUAUUGUACAACCUUAAGACUCUAGUUUAGACCACAACACCAUCCGCAUCCCCUACACCAAAAUAAUCCAUAAGCAGCAGGAGAAUCGAAAGCUUGUUGGAAGGGAAAUGCUGAAAAUAAAAUUGUAACACAGAGGGCAGUGAGGCACAUAGAAGCUCAUCAGAUGAUCUCAGCAUGUGGGCAAAUUUAUGUGGGCAGAGGUGGUCCUGAUCUUGCACUUUUUAGAGCUUGAAAGAAGAUAAGCUGCACUCUGAAUUGGGCUCAGAAACAAACAGGAGGCGCUUCUUCUAAACCUGAAGCAGCUAAAUGGGCUGUGUCAGAUGUGUUCAUGGCCAGCUACCCUAAUGAUACUGUUCAUCCUGCCCGACUUGUUACCUAAGCUUGAAUUCAGCCCAGCAGCUAUGUAUGGUGGUCCAGCAGGGGCUUGACAGAUGUCCUACAAGGACUGUAGAGAGUGGGGAGGAAGGUUGUCGCACGCCCGACAGCUCGCAGUAGAAAGCUGAUAGGUUUCAUUUGCUUUAGCUGGCUGUGAGUUAUCCAGCCCUGAUUCCAGGCGUUCCUGCGCAUUUGAGGCAGCUUGUAUUCACAAUAGAUGCAGAGUAUGCUCCCCCCUGAAAUUCUUGCAGUUGGUUUCCCCUUCGCGAACAUGAAAACCUUGCCUUAUUUGGCACUCUCACCUGAUUCUGACACAGAGGUGGCUGAGCAAUCUCUAUAGCCAGAUGGUCACUGUUUGCUUACAUUACCAGGCUCUCUUUCUCCCUUCCCUCCGGCUGGGAGAUAUUCAGUCACUGAUCCUUCUUCAGAUUUGCCACUCUCAAAAUUUGCAAGCAUUAUCUCAGCCUUACUAACAUUGGCUACACACCCUUUCAUGUCCCCCCACCCUUCAUGUUGAGUUUUCCCACCAUCACACUUUCUACAAUCUGUAAUGCAAGUGUACUACACAGUGUACUAUCUUGAGGUAAAUGUGCAGAAGGGUACAUUUGUGUAUAUCUCUCUGUGUGGGGGAGCAUUUCCCAGAUUAAAAAGGAUUAAAGCCCAAAGGCAUAGCAGGUGGCUGCACUUAUCAAUUUCUGAAAAAGAGAAACCACAUUCACAGGUGUAUUUUAAGAGUAACCAAUUAUCUAUACAGUGGUACCUCGGGUUACAUACGCUUCAGGUUACAGACUCCGCUAACCCAGAAAUAUUACUUUGGGUUAAGAACUUUGCUUCAGGAUGAGAACAGAAAUCAUGCUCUGGCAGCUCAGUGGCAGCAGGAGGCCCUAUUAGCUAAAGUGGUGCUUCAGGUUAAGAACAGUUUCAGGUUAAGAACGGACCUCCAGAACGAAUUAAGUACUUAACCCGAGGUACAACUGUAUAUGUAUCUAUCUAUAUCUGUGCCAUUCUGAAGACUGCAUACGCAUAUGGCCCCCUUGUUGUAGGCUCAUUUCAAGGGGUUUGGGGGAUGGAGCAGCCUUUGGGAUUUACUGUAUUGUGUCUAUAAUUAGAUGCUCCAGAUUUCUUUCUCUGCUUUGUUUUCGCCUGCAGGAGUCCAAGGCAGAAGGCAAAAGCUAAUUUUAGCCCUAGCAUGAAGAAGACAGAGCAAAAUAGGCUGAAGUGGAAACUCAAACAUGCUGAAGAUGUAUGAAAUUCUGUACAUGACGGUGGUGAUUCUUCCUAUUCUGGCUUUGUGCAUUCUGGCACCUCACCUAAACGCUCAACACAUGACAACGUGCAAUUGAAUGCCAGAGUGGACUCAGUGUGUGGUGCAUCUGAGGUGAUAUGAAAUGUCUGUG